Non-coding RNA from Heterocephalus glaber (naked mole-rat), 441 nucleotides. The record is from the annotation of a RefSeq genome assembly. Lineage: Eukaryota; Metazoa; Chordata; Mammalia; Rodentia; Bathyergidae.
AUGCCAGGUGUUCUGACUCAACAAUCAGUACUGAAUAUAGACAGCUCACCAUGGAGCUUGCACUGGGCUGGGUUUUCCUUGUUGCUCUUUUAAAAGGUGUGCAGUGUGAGGUGCAGCUGGUGGAGUCUGGAGGAGGAUUGGUGCAGCCUGGGGGGGCCCUGAAACUCUCCUGUGCAGCCUCUGGCUUCACCUUCAGUAAUUACUACAUGAGCUGGGUCCGCCAGGCUCCAGGAAAAGGUCUUGAGUGGGUUGGUCUUAUUAGAAACAAGGGUAAUAGUUAUACAACAGAGUAUGCUACAUCUGUGAAAGGCAGAUUCACCAUCUCCAGGGAUGACUCCAAAAGCACACUGGAGCUGCAAAUGAACAGCCUGAAAGUUGAGGACACAGCCAUGUACUACUGUACAAGAGACACAGUGAGGUGACAUCAGUGUGAGCCCAGAC